Molecule: microRNA, 22 nt
Filed under: Polistes canadensis
Lineage: Eukaryota; Metazoa; Arthropoda; Insecta; Hymenoptera; Vespidae
Also listed under: 1 other name
Description: pca-miR-995-3p
Gene: pca-miR-995-3p
Source: miRBase by way of RNAcentral
UAGCACCACAUUAUUCAGCUUG